AUGAACGCUGGCGGCGUGCCUAAUACCUGCCAGUCGCGCGAACAGACGAGGAGCUUGCUCCUCUGACGUUAGCGGCGGACGGGUGAGUAACACGUGGAUAACCUACCUAUAAGACUGGGAUAACUUCGGGAAACCGGAGCUAAUACCGGAUAAUAUAUUGAACCGCAUGGUUCCAUAGUGAAAGACGGUUUUGCUGUCACUUAUAGAUGGAUCCGCGCCGCAUUAGCUAGUUGGUAAGGUAACGGCUUACCAAGGCAACGAUGCGUAGCCGACCUGAGAGGGUGAUCGGCCACACUGGAACUGAGACACGGUCCAGACUCCUACGGGAGGCAGCAGUAGGGAAUCUUCCGCAAUGGGCGAAAGCCUGACGGAGCAACGCCGCGUGAGUGAUGAAGGUCUUCGGAUCGUAAAACUCUGUUAUUAGGGAAGAACAAAUGUGUAAGUAACUAUGCACGUCUUGACGGUACCUAAUCAGAAAGCCACGGCUAACUACGUG
RNAcentral lists this ribosomal RNA (496 nucleotides) under uncultured bacterium. RNAcentral describes it as "partial 16S ribosomal RNA". It matches the Rfam family "Bacterial small subunit ribosomal RNA", at positions 29 to 507 of the family's 1533-position model. The record is from RNAcentral.